UACGGAGGAUGCGAGCGUUAUCCGGAUUUAUUGGGUUUAAAGGGUGCGUAGGCGGAUUCUUAAGUCAGCGGUAAAAUGUCCGGGCUCAACCCGGGCCGGCCGUUGAAACUGGGGAUCUUGAGUGGGCGAGAAGUAUGCGGAAUGCGUGGUGUAGCGGUGAAAUGCAUAGAUAUCACGCAGAACUCCGAUUGCGAAGGCAGCAUACCGGCGCCCGACUGACGCUGAGGCACGAAAGCGUGGGGAUCGAACAGG
This 252-nucleotide ribosomal RNA is filed under the name uncultured bacterium. RNAcentral's name for it is "partial 16S ribosomal RNA". It matches the Rfam family "Bacterial small subunit ribosomal RNA", at positions 524 to 776 of the family's 1533-position model. The record is from RNAcentral.